UGCCUACCUGAGGCCUUCUUAAGGCCUUUCUUGUCUGUGGGGUUCAGAUUACAUUUUCUAAGGAACUACCUUGGGAAGAAAACUGCCCUCUUCCCUUGCUUAUGCUUCAAAACCUGCAAAAAGUAUUCUAUUGUUUAUGACAGACAGCUUCUGAAUCUGAGGAGAUUUAAAGGAUGUAGACAGUAUCUUGUGUAUGACAAGCCAUCAGUGUUGUGCCCCAUGUCCUCUUCCUGGCACGCCUCCUAGACCUGAACUGUCCCUGGGAUCCUGGGAAAUGGCCAGCAUGUUGCUCUCAGUGUGACUUCAGAGGAUUUUCAGGCCUCCUUAUCUUCGGUAAAUGUACUAAGGAGGAAGGAGCCACCCUGUUGCUGUUCAAAUAACUCUUGAAGCUUUGCAAAAAGGACAAAGUCAUUGCCCAGGUCCAGCAAACCUCUUGCAGACAUCUCAGUCCCACCUCAGUACAUUGCCUGCAAAAACACAAAUAUAGUUGAAAAUGCCUGAGAUGAACUUUCGUUUGAAGUGUGGUCCCUCCGUGCUCUGUUGGCAACAUAAAAGGGUGGGCACUUGGAAUCUGUCCCUUGGGUAGACCCUUUCCAGGAGGACACCACAAAUUUUAUUUCUAAUGUUUCUUAGAAAAGAUAAUAGCUCUCUGCAGCGUAUCUGUCAGCGUGGGCUCUAACAGGGGCCUCAGUGGAGGUGUUAGGAACUCUACAUGCUCUGACAGCCUUCUGCUUGGAACACCCGGAUCCAGCACAGACCGCAGCACCGUCUGUUUACAGCAGAUAGGAGCCAAGCCGUUCCUGCACAUGAGGAAUGCAGUGACUUAAAAAUUCUUCCCUACACAAGCUUAAGAACAAAAGCACAAAGCAAUACAGCCAGUCCAUGGGCUAGCUGAGUAAAAGCCAAACAAGUGUUUUGCUGGCUCCAUCUGCUGGACCCUGAUGAUGUGAACGAUACAGUGAAGCUUGGCUGGACUCACACGGAACAAACACGUCUGAAACUGAAGCACUCCAUGCGUGUCAUGGAAACCGUGAGAAAAGAGAUAGGAACAUCCGUCCCCAGAAUGCAUAAGUGUAAAGACUAAUGAUUUGGAGUUGCAUUCAUUAUGGCUUUUCUAGUUGUUUUGGGACACCAAGAACAACCCAAACCAAUCAAAUUUACAAGAGAACACAUCCAUAUAAUGUUGGCUUUUACUUUGUCAUGUGCUGGUGUAUAGGAAAUGAGACCUUGAAGAUAGUUUAUCUCAGUCUGAUUAAUACAAAGUUAAUGAAUUAUGCAUAAAACUCUAAAUGGUUUCCCAGAUACAGAAACAAAAGGGUUGCUUCUGAAGUAGCAGACCAUGGAGGAUAAUUUCAGACUUUUAGAACAUGUGUUAUUCAUGCAUUCCAGGCAACAACUCAAUGGCUGAUGACCGAGCCACACCUGCUGGACUUUGAGGACUUUCAACUGUCUUAUUACACUUAUUAAAGUUCCACUGUCCCCUAAAUUCAUCUCCUUUUCACAGAAAAGGUAGAAAUAAAUUUACACGGAAGCUUCUUAUUGGGUACUGUGUCCUGCACAGAUUACUUUCUUCGAGUAGUCACAUACCUACAGUUAAGAAUGUGAUUUUUCUGCCUCAGAUGCUUGAUACAUUUAAGAAAGUUCAUGUUUUUAACCAAGUCAUUGUGGGACAUCGUUUUGGGGAAAAGAAACAAGUGUGUUUCAUGGGAGUGGUGGUACUUCCCACUGAAAAGGGCCUUUGCUGCUGUUGUGACACAGCUGUCUCUAUAUCUGAGAGCGUUUCAGUGUUCUAAAACCGAACAGAACAAAUUGAGAAGCCAUGGAAACAGUGACUAAGAUGAGAAAAUAUUUGCUUUCCUUGCUCUCUCUUCUGCCAUGGUUGCACAAAUUCUUGGAAUGACUGGAAAGAAAGUUCUAAAAAAUUUCGUGAUUCCGAGAUUCUCCGUCACGUAAGGAUAUUCUUUAAUGAAACCAUAGGGAAUACAGCUACCAGGGGAAUAUGCGACGAUUAGCCUCCAUACAUAGAAUUGCUGCACAAUCUGGUAGUUAGAACAUCUAAGAGUAAACAGUUAAUGCUGUGGACUACCUGAUGGUAGUUGAUUGCAAAUUACAGGUUUUACUGUAGGGAUGUCUCACGUUCUUUUAAUUUUAUGGAAGAUGUAGUAACAGCUGGUUUCUGAAGUUAAAGAAAAACGUUUCCUAAAUAGAAUUAUUUCCUGAGUCGGUGAUGCAAUUAUGGCUAGCUGGAAUAUUUUAAUUAUGAUUUCCAUUUGUAAUCAAAUAUUACAAAAGCAUGAGAGAGGGACUAAGAUCUCAUUACGUAUAAAAAACAGUCUGUCUGAACCAUAUACCAGGAAAUGGAAUUAGAAACCUAUCAGUCUAUUACAGAGAGAUGAGGGAAAGAAACCAGAGAACUGUGAAGACUUGGACCAACUGGCAGCAUUAUGAUCCCCAAACAAGCUGUUAGAUGCAGAAAUGUGAAGCACUGUAAACCAUCAGUUCAAGAAAUUGUUUUGUGGGAGUUCAGAGCUGUAGUGAAGUUUGACAUGGAAUGAAGAACUUUCUACAUACCUGCUCUCCAGAACUAGAUUCAUGGGGAAGUCGUGUCACACUGUGUCACGUUGUGGUUUUGUGACUUUGAGAAAGCAUCUUGUCAGUUCAACCAUAUGAGAAACUAUAUUUUGUGAGAUGCUAAGCACAACCAAGGAGAAUAGGCAGACAGACAACUGCAACUCCCCAGAGGAGAAGGAGCAGCAUGAUUGA
Long non-coding RNA from Lagopus muta (rock ptarmigan), 2763 nucleotides. RefSeq lists it as uncharacterized. The record is from RefSeq and is a predicted model, not a curated record. Lineage: Eukaryota; Metazoa; Chordata; Aves; Galliformes; Phasianidae. The transcript has 5 exons.